Molecule: ribosomal RNA, 507 nt
Filed under: Triticum aestivum (bread wheat)
Lineage: Eukaryota; Viridiplantae; Streptophyta; Magnoliopsida; Poales; Poaceae
Description: partial small subunit ribosomal RNA
Source: RNAcentral
AUGAUCAUCACUGGCGACGACCCUCAGUAUAUUGCCUUUGUGAAGGCCCGUCUUAGUGAGCAGUUUCUUAUGUCUGAUCUUCACCCUCUUAGGCACUUUCUUGGGAUAGAAGUCUCUUCUACCUCUGAUGCCUUUUUUAUUUCCCAGGAAAAGUAUAUCCAGGAUCUUCUUGCUCGUGUUGCUCUUACUGAUGAGCGCAUUGUGGAGACUCCCAUGGAGCUCAAUGUUCACCUCCGUGAUACUGAUGGUGACCCCUUGUCUGAUCCAACGUGUUAUCGUCAUCUUGUUGGGAGUCCUAUCUAUCUAGCUACCACUCGUUCGGAUAUCUCUUAUCCAGUCCAUAUUUUGAGUCAGUUUGUCUCUGCUCCCACUUCGGUUCACUACAGUCACCUUCUUCGUGUUCUCGGCUAUCUUCGUGGCACCAUCUCUCACCGUCUGUUCUUUCCUCGCUCCAAUUCGUUACAGCUUCAGGCUUAUUCGGAUGCUACGUGGGCUAGUGAUCCAUAG